RNAcentral lists this small nuclear RNA (239 nucleotides) under Lynx canadensis (Canada lynx). Its description in RNAcentral is "U2 spliceosomal RNA (ENSLCNG00005006702.1)". It matches the Rfam family "U2 spliceosomal RNA". From Rfam's summary of the family: U2 is a small nuclear RNA (snRNA) component of the spliceosome (involved in pre-mRNA splicing). Complementary binding between U2 snRNA (in an area lying towards the 5' end but 3' to hairpin I) and the branchpoint sequence (BPS) of the intron results the bulging out of an unpaired adenosine, on the BPS, which initiates a nucleophilic attack at the intronic 5' splice site, thus starting the first of two transesterification reactions that mediate splicing. Lineage: Eukaryota; Metazoa; Chordata; Mammalia; Carnivora; Felidae. The record is from Rfam by way of RNAcentral.
AUCGCUUCUCGGCCUUUUGGCUAAGAUCAAGUGUAAAAAUAUUUUCUUUAUUUUGAGAGACAGAGUGAGCAGGGUAGGGGCAAAGGGAGAGAGGGAGAGAAUCUUUUUUAUUAUUUUUUUUUAUUUUAUUUUUUAUUUUUGAGAGAGAGAGAGAAGCAGAGAGAGGGAGACACAGAAUCUAAAGCAGGCUCCAGGCUCUAAGCUCUCAUUACAGAGCCCGACACGGGGCUUGAACCCAU